This 260-nucleotide unclassified non-coding RNA is filed under the name fungal sp. RNAcentral describes it as "partial internal transcribed spacer region". The stretch from base 1 to 46 matches the Rfam family "Eukaryotic small subunit ribosomal RNA", at positions 1786 to 1831 of the family's 1831-position model. Lineage: Eukaryota; Fungi. The record is from RNAcentral.
AAGUCGUAACAAGGUUUCCGUAGGUGAACCUGCGGAAGGAUCAUUAAAAAACUAGUCGUUCGCGGGAGGGGAGACCUGACCGCGAUGUAAGCUAUCACUAGUAACCCUUGAAUAAACACCUUUGUUGCUUUGGCGGGCCGCCUUCUAGGCCAGCGGCUUCGGCUGCUGCGUGCCCGCCAGAGGACCUCAACUCUUGUUUUUAGUGAUGUCUGAGUACUAUAUAAUAGUUAAAACUUUCAACAACGGAUCUCUUGGUUCUG